GUGCAUUCUCAGGGCAGGGUGAAAUUCCCUACUGGUGGUAUAUGUAUAUUUACAUGAGCCCACGAGCGCUUAAUAUUUAAGGUCAGCAGAUUUGGUGUGAUGCCAAAGCCAACAGUUAAAGUCUGGAUGAAAGAGAAUAAAA
This 142-nucleotide non-coding RNA is filed under the name Pasteurella bettyae. Its description in RNAcentral is "FMN sequence". It matches the Rfam family "FMN riboswitch aptamer (RFN element)". Rfam says of the family: The RFN element is a highly conserved domain that is found frequently in the 5'-untranslated regions of prokaryotic mRNAs that encode for flavin mononucleotide (FMN) biosynthesis and transport proteins. This element is a metabolite-dependent riboswitch that directly binds FMN in the absence of proteins. In Bacillus subtilis, the riboswitch most likely controls gene expression by causing premature transcription termination within the 5' untranslated region of the ribDEAHT operon and precluding access to the ribosome-binding site of ypaA mRNA. RNAcentral also lists the same sequence under 1 other name. Lineage: Bacteria; Pseudomonadati; Pseudomonadota; Gammaproteobacteria; Pasteurellales; Pasteurellaceae. The record is from RNAcentral.